RNAcentral lists this ribosomal RNA (468 nucleotides) under uncultured bacterium. RNAcentral describes it as "partial 16S ribosomal RNA". It matches the Rfam family "Bacterial small subunit ribosomal RNA", at positions 28 to 507 of the family's 1533-position model. The record is from RNAcentral.
GACGAACGCUGGCGGCGUGCUUAACACAUGCAAGUCGAACGGAAAGGCCCUGCUUUUGUGGCGUGCUCGAGUGGCGCACGGGUGAGUAACACCUGAGUAACCUGCCCUUGACUUUGGGAUAACUUCAGGAAACUGGGGCUAAUACCGGAUAGGAGCUCCUGCUGCAUGUUGGGGGUUGGAGAGUUUCGGCGGUUGUGGCUGGACUCGCGGCUUAUCAGCUUGUUGGUGGGGUAGUGGCUUACCAAGGCUUUGACGGGUAGCCUGCCUGAGAGGGUUACCGGCGACAUGGGGCCUGAGAUAGGGCGCAGACUGGUACGGUCGGCAGUGGUGGGGAGCAUUGCACAAUGGGCGGAAGCCAGAGGCAGCAGCGCUGCGUUCGGAAUGACGGCUUUCGGGGUGUAAACCGCUGUCGCAUGUGACGAAGCGGGAGUGACGGUAACGGGUAAGGAAGCAACGGCUAACUACGUG